RNAcentral lists this ribosomal RNA (253 nucleotides) under uncultured bacterium. RNAcentral's name for it is "partial 16S ribosomal RNA". It matches the Rfam family "Bacterial small subunit ribosomal RNA", at positions 524 to 776 of the family's 1533-position model. The record is from RNAcentral.
UACGUAGGGGGCUAGCGUUGUCCGGAAUCAUUGGGCGUAAAGAGCGUGUAGGCGGUCCGGUAAGUCCGCUGUGAAAGUCGGGGGCUCAACCCUCGAAUGCCGAUGGAUACUGUCGGGCUAGAGUGCGGAAGAGGCGAGUGGAAUUCCUGGUGUAGCGGUGAAAUGCGCAGAUAUCGGGAGGAACACCUAUUGCGAAGGCAGCUCGCUGGGACGUAACUGACGCUGAGACGCGAAAGCGUGGGGAGCAAACAGG